GGGGGUGUCAAGGUUUCGACGGGGGAAGGAAACGAAGUGCCGCAUGCCGGAGUGGGCAGGCUCCGUAAAAAAGCCCAACUUAACUAAACGCAGACUCUGACGUUAGUUACGCAUUAGCAGCUUAAUAGCUGCUACGUCCUGUCACCCAUCGCCUGUGUGGCUGUCGGGACGUUAAUUGAAGCGGGCUGGUUUUGAAGAAGGACUGUGGCUUCGAAACGAGACUAAAAGCAGACUCGCCUGAUCCGUAUCCUGUCUGUAGGAGCCUGAUCAAGGUUAAAUUUAAACUACAGACUAAGCAUGUAGACGCCUUACGCGGAUAGCUUUCGGACGCGGGUUCGAUUCCCGCCACCUCCACCA
This 357-nucleotide transfer-messenger RNA is filed under the name Pelovirga terrestris. RNAcentral's name for it is "Standard tmRNA". It matches the Rfam family "transfer-messenger RNA". From Rfam's summary of the family: Bacterial tmRNA, also known as 10Sa RNA or SsrA, is named for its dual tRNA and mRNA-like properties. Its role is to liberate the mRNA from a stalled ribosome. Lineage: Bacteria; Pseudomonadati; Thermodesulfobacteriota; Desulfuromonadia; Geobacterales; Geobacteraceae. The record is from Rfam by way of RNAcentral.